RNAcentral lists this ribosomal RNA (467 nucleotides) under uncultured bacterium. RNAcentral's name for it is "partial 16S ribosomal RNA". It matches the Rfam family "Bacterial small subunit ribosomal RNA", at positions 29 to 507 of the family's 1533-position model. The record is from RNAcentral.
ACGCACGCUGGCGGCGUGCUUAACACAUGCAAGUCGAACGGAAAGGCCCUGCUUUUGUGGGGUGCUCGAGUGGCGAACGGGUGAGUAACACGUGAGUAACCUGCCCUUGACUUUGGGAUAACUUCAGGAAACUGGGGCUAAUACCGGAUAGGAGCUCCUGCUGCAUGGUGGGGGUUGGAAAGUUUCUGCGGUUGGGGAUGGACUCGCGGCUUAUCAGCUUGUUGGUGGGGUAGUGGCUUACCAAGGCUUUGACGGGUAGCCGGCCUGAGAGGGUGACCGGCCACAUUGGGACUGAGAUACGGCCCAGACUCCUACGGGAGGCAGCAGUGGGGAAUAUUGCACAAUGGGCGGAAGCCUGAUGCAGCAACGCCGCGUGCGGGAUGACGGCCUUCGGGUUGUAAACCGCUUUCGCCUGUGACGAAGCGUGAGUGACGGUAAUGGGUAAAGAAGCACCGGCUAACUACGUG